RNAcentral lists this ribosomal RNA (496 nucleotides) under uncultured bacterium. RNAcentral's name for it is "partial 16S ribosomal RNA". It matches the Rfam family "Bacterial small subunit ribosomal RNA", at positions 28 to 506 of the family's 1533-position model. The record is from RNAcentral.
GAUGAACGCUGGCGGCGUGCCUAAUACAUGCAAGUCGAGCGAACAGAUGAGGAGCUUGCUCCUCUGACGUUAGCGGCGGACGGGUGAGUAACACGUGGAUAACCUACCUAUAAGACUGGGAUAACUUCGGGAAACCGGAGCUAAUACCGGAUAAUAUAUUGAACCGCAUGGUUCAAUAGUGAAAGACGGUUUUGCUGUCACUUAUAGAUGGAUCCGCGCCGCAUUAGCUAGUUGGUAAGGUAACGGCUUACCAAGGCAACGAUGCGUAGCCGACCUGAGAGGGUGAUCGGCCACACUGGACCUGAGCCACGGUCCAGACUCCUACGGGAGGCAGCAGUAGGGAAUCUUCCGCAAUGGGCGAAAGCCUGACGGAGCAACGCCGCGUGAGUGAUGAAGGUCUUCGGAUCGUAAAACUCUGUUAUUAGGGAAGAACAAAUGUGUAAGUAACUAUGCACGUCUUGACGGUACCUAAUCAGAAAGCCACGGCUAACUACGU